UAUGUGGUUUAAUUCGAUGCAACGCGAAGAACCUUACCUGGUCUUGACAUCCCGGAGACCCUUAGGAAACUAGGGGUGCUUCCAUCUGGAAGAAUCUGGAGACAGGUGCUGCAUGGCUGUCGUCAGCUCGUGUCGUGAGAUGUUGGGUUAAGUCCCGCAACGAGCGCAACCCUUGCCUUUAGUUGCCAGCAGUUCGGCUGGGCACUCUAAAGGGACUGCCGGUGUUAAACCGGAGGAAGGUGGGGAUGACGUCAAGUCCUCAUGGCCUUUAUGACCAGGGCUACACACGUACUACAAUGGCCGAUACGAAGGGCAGCGACACUGCGAGGUGAAGCCAAUCCCGUAAAAUCGGUCUCAGUCCGGAUUGGAGUCUGCAACUCGACUCCAUGAAGUUGGAAUCGCUAGUAAUCGUGGAUCAGCAUGCCACGGUGAAUACGUUCCCGGGCCUU
Molecule: ribosomal RNA, 449 nt
Filed under: uncultured Desulfobulbus sp.
Lineage: Bacteria; Pseudomonadati; Thermodesulfobacteriota; Desulfobulbia; Desulfobulbales; Desulfobulbaceae
Description: bacterial SSU rRNA
Rfam family: Bacterial small subunit ribosomal RNA
Source: RNAcentral